AUGCUGCUCCGUGUUUGGGGACGCAUGGACACAGGACGGAGCACACGGGACCUGGUGAUGGAGGCUGCCUCAGUCCUGUUCGCAUUUGAACAUCUUUGGCCAAUCCAAGGUGUGACCAGAGUCCCAAAGCUGACGACCUGUUCUGGAUGCCUGUGGCAAGAGCCCCUCUGUUGGAUUCCCUUCAAGUAGCACUUUGGGCUCUCUGGGUUGUUUAGUGGGAUGACCCAGACCUUCAUCCCCAAGGCGAUGGUCGUGGUGGUUUCCCUUGCUCAUUGAAAGCCAUUGCCGCUAAAUCACUGCUAAGAGAUACCCAGUUCCUUCAUGUAGGUUUUUAGACACACCCUACUGUCCUCGAUCAUCUACUAGCAACCUUCGUCCCUGAUGUUUGUCAGUUACUAUCCCAAUCAUCAGAACCAAUCCUUUCUUUGCCUGUUCGGCCAAGAACAUUAGAGAGUCAGGUGGUAAUCACAGAUUCCUCUUAAAGGUAUUCUUGCUGUGACCCUGAAAGAACUGUCUCCACUCCCGUCUCCCGGAGCUGGGACUUCCUACAAUCCCUGAGAGUGCCAGGUUGCAUGAAUGAGAAACAACAAAAUAUGCAGGGUUGCUGGCUGUCGUAAUUGGGGCCACUCCGACACCUGUUGGUCCUCAGACUCCUAUACCGUAGCAGUAGUGGCACUGUUCAUCACUGGUAAUCAGUUCAGAAUGUGUGCCACAUCCUGGAUUGGAUGAUGGUAUCCAGGCCACAUUAAGUGUUGACCCUCUGGCCAGCACCUUAGUAACCAUUGGUAGGCCAUGUCACCAUCAUUAUCAGGUCAGUUAAUCCUGGAUGGUGGGAUGGGACAAGACCAGUGCAUUCCAUAGUCAUGAGCUUAUGGUCACACCUCCUCUGGUGGAAAAGGAGUCCUUCGUUCAGAGGCAGUGCUGUGGGAUAUCACAGGUAAGGCAUUCUGUGAGUCUUUGGGGAUGGUGCUGGCAGAACCAUAGGCAGGGGCCGUAAGGACAAAAUACUGCCCCAUGAUUAAUGGUGCCGAGUUGAUAGCAUCAGUCUGCUGUCCACUGGACAAGCCUUCAGCUAUGGUGGUAACAUGAGUCUUGGUACAGGAAAUCCUUGCUAUUGAGCCUAUGCUUAGCUGUCAUCCCGGACACUGUUCCCAGGCCUCUGCACAAGGGCCGGAUGUGUGAGAAGAGU
This 1189-nucleotide long non-coding RNA is filed under the name Neogale vison (American mink). Its description in RNAcentral is "Neovison vison (American mink) lncRNA (ENSNVIG00000004594.1)". Lineage: Eukaryota; Metazoa; Chordata; Mammalia; Carnivora; Mustelidae. The record is from RNAcentral.